Molecule: ribosomal RNA, 232 nt
Filed under: uncultured bacterium
Lineage: Bacteria
Description: partial 16S ribosomal RNA
Rfam family: Bacterial small subunit ribosomal RNA
Source: RNAcentral
GGGUGAGUAAUAUAUCGGAACGUGCCCAGUCGUGGGGGAUAACGCAGCGAAAGCUGUGCUAAUACCGCAUACGAUCUACGGAUGAAAGCGGGGGAUCGCAAGACCUCGCGCGAUUGGAGCGGCCGAUAUCAGAUUAGGUUGUUGGUGAGGUAAAAGCUCACCAAGCCGACGAUCUGUAGCUGGUCUGAGAGGACGACCAGCCACACUGGAACUGAGACACGGUCCAGACUCC